Molecule: ribosomal RNA, 395 nt
Filed under: uncultured bacterium
Lineage: Bacteria
Description: bacterial SSU rRNA
Rfam family: Bacterial small subunit ribosomal RNA
Source: RNAcentral
GUGUCAGCAGCCGCGGUAAGACAGAGGGUGCAAACGUUGCUCGGAAUCACUGGGCGUAAAGGGCGUGUAGGCGGAUGGAUAAGUCGGGCGUGAAAUCCCUGGGCUCAACCCAGGAACUGCACUCGAAACUGUCUAUCUUGAGUACCGGAGAGGAAGGUGGAAUUCCUGGUGUAGAGGUGAAAUUCGUAGAUAUCAGGAGGAACACCAGUGGCGAAGGCGGCCUUCUGGACGGUAACUGACGCUGAGACGCGAAAGCGUGGGGAGCAAACAGGAUUAGAUACCCUGGUAGUCCACGCUGUAAACGAUGAACACUAGGUGUCGUGGGUAUUGACCCCUGCGGUGCCGUAGCUAACGCAUUAAGUGUUCCGCCUGGGAAGUACGGUCGCAAGACUAAA